Molecule: ribosomal RNA, 497 nt
Filed under: uncultured bacterium
Lineage: Bacteria
Description: partial 16S ribosomal RNA
Rfam family: Bacterial small subunit ribosomal RNA
Source: RNAcentral
GAUGAACGCUGGCGGCGUGCCUAAUACAUGCAAGUCGAGCGAACAGACGAGGAGCUUGCUCCACUGACGUUAGCGGCGGACGUGUGAGUAAAAUGUGGAUAACCUACCUAUAAGACUGGGAUAACUUCGGGAAACCGGAGCUAAUACCGGCUAAUCUAUUCAACCGCAUGGUUCAAUAGUUCAAUUCGGUUUUGGUGUCACUUGUAGCUGGAUCGGCGCCGCGUUAGCUAUUUGGUAAGGUAACGUCUUACCAAGGCAACGCUGCGUAGCCGACCGGAGGGCGGCAUCGGCGAGCGUGGAACUGAACCGCGAUCCAGACUCCGACGGGACGCAGAAGUGGGGAAUCUGCCGGAAUGGGCGGAAGCCUGACGGAGGAACGACGCGUGAGUGAUGAAGGUCUUAUGAUCGUAAACCUCUUUUAAUCCGGAAGAACAAAUGUCUAAGUACCUUUGCAGGUCGUGACGGUAGCUACAGAAAAAGGAACGGCUAACUACGUG